Molecule: ribosomal RNA, 494 nt
Filed under: uncultured bacterium
Lineage: Bacteria
Description: bacterial SSU rRNA
Rfam family: Bacterial small subunit ribosomal RNA
Source: RNAcentral
GGGCGAAAGCCUGAUGCAGCAACGCCGCGUGAGCGAUGAAGGCCUUUGGGUCGUAAAGCUCUGUCCUUGGGGAAGAAAAAAAUGACGGUACCCUUGGAGGAAGCCCCGGCUAACUACGUGCCAGCAGCCGCGGUAAUACGUAGGGGGCAAGCGUUAUCCGGAAUUAUUGGGCGUAAAGAGUGCGUAGGUGGUUUUGUAAGCGCGGGGUGAAAGGCAAUGGCUCAACUAUUGUAAGCCCUGCGAACUGUGAGACUUGAGUGCAGGAGAGGAAAGCGGAAUUUCUAGUGUAGCGGUGAAAUGCGUAGAUAUUAGGAGGAACACCAGUGGCGAAGGCGGCUUUCUGGACUGUAACUGACACUGAGGCACGAAAGCGUGGGGAGCAAACAGGAUUAGAUACCCUGGUAGUCCACGCCGUAAACGAUGAGCACUAGGUGUCGGGGCCGCAAGGUUUCGGUGCCGCAGUUAACGCAUUAAGUGCUCCGCCUGGGGAGUAC